AAAAUGACUCUCGGCAACGGAUAUCUCGGCUCU
Molecule: ribosomal RNA, 33 nt
Filed under: Garrya elliptica
Lineage: Eukaryota; Viridiplantae; Streptophyta; Magnoliopsida; Garryales; Garryaceae
Also listed under: 5 other names
Description: partial 5.8S ribosomal RNA
Source: RNAcentral